This is a long non-coding RNA of Triticum dicoccoides, 1542 nucleotides long. RefSeq lists it as uncharacterized. The transcript has 5 exons. NCBI's taxonomy places the organism in Eukaryota, Viridiplantae, Streptophyta, Magnoliopsida, Poales, Poaceae. The record is from RefSeq and is a predicted model, not a curated record.
AAUCGUUCUAUUGAUUCGUGCAAGAGAGAGACCAGACAGGAGCGUGGCGACAUUGCCAGCCGUGGAAGAAAUAGGUAGGAGCGAGGUAGAGAGAGAGAGAGAGCGCACCACUCUGCUCAUCGUUGUCUCCUCCUUCUGUGCGACAUGGACAUCGUAGCUGGCAUGGCCACCGCUGUCGUCGACGGCCCACUCAAAAAUUAAACCAUUCCCCGUCCCAAAGCCGCCACGCACCGGCGCUACAUACUGCCGGCAGCGCAGCGACUCACCCGCUGACGGGCUUUCCCUCCCAUGCCACAUGUCCUCCCUCUUACGCUGAUCCUGUUCAAUGCAUGGAGGCGUCGAUCUAGACCCCGUGGACACGAUGACCUGGAUCCACUCUCUCCCACGCCUCCCUCCUCUAAUUCCUACCGCCCACACCCAUUAGUUUUUCCUCUCUGAAUUGCAGCAUGAAGGAGGAAAAACUAAUGUUGCAAUUCAGAGAGGGCGAGUAGUAUCUAUCAACAGCGUGCAGGAGGGCGAGUAGUAUCUAUCAACAGCGGCAACAUAAUCACAUUUGUGACGGCGGUUUCUUGGCUGUAGUGAAUAGAAAUUUUGGUGUGGUGGCCAAAUGCUUUACUGUUUGGCAGACUUGUUCAUCAUUGCUGUAGCAUGGAGACUCCUUCCAGCUAUUGAUUAAAUAUGUUAUCUUGCCCAAUACUUUCCUCAUGUGGCUGUUAUGACGAGCACCUUUCUUUGUGGCGGUGAUGUAUUAAAUAAUCUCUAACAAAUUAAUACGCUUAAAUGGUGAUGCCACUGCUCAAAUCCAAACACUGAAGAACGCAUAUAUAUUGCAUGGUCUGCCAUCGGAGCACCUUUGGAGGAAGAAGUUCACCUCAAGCCAUCGGAGUGAAAUUCUCAUUGCCAUAACCAGCUUUCACAGGGAAGCAUAAGGGUCAAAAGAGUGAGGACCUUAACGCGCAAUAGCGUGGACCAGUGGACGAGGAUGAUAUCAUGGAGUCAGGAGAAAGGCUUGUUGGAAGUAGAAUAUAAUGAGGCAAUGUUAUGUUCUUUUUUCUAUUAAUUAACUUUACAGUGAUAUGUGUUGAAAGCCUGAAAGUGUAGGCCAUACCAAGGUUGAUGACAUCAAAAUGAUGUAAACAAUUAUCCAUCUCUUGAUUCAUUGCAGAUCUGAAAUUUGGAAAAGGCAAUAUUAAUCUUCCCCACUAAAUGGUUGUAUUAUGCCCCCAGUAUCAAUGAGUCCUGGUUUACAAAGAGUCGGACUCACAGACGUUGAUCCAAGCACUCAAUGCCGGUGAUUUUUAUGUGGCGGAUUAUGGUGUACUACCUCAUAAUGUGAGGAGUACCUGCAUGGCGACCGUCUGAUAGGCAUGAGUUUAUCUUUUGCUGUUUUCAUGUAAUUCUGUUGCCCAUGCCAUAGCGAAAUUUGGGUACCAUUCGGCUACGGCUUCUAUAUUCUGGCUAGAGUCUAACCCAGACUUUGUAUCAAUUUUGGUUGCCAAUGACUCUGCUGAGCUUCUUGGUUAAUGAAAUCAUUUGAAAAUA